GCCCCCCCACACACCAACAACUGUCAUAACCAAAAACAUCUCCACGUAUUGCCAGAUGCUCCCUAGGGGAGAAAAUCACCCCUGGUUGAGAACCCCUGCUCUGUGGCAUGUAAGCUGAAGCUAGGAGAGUGGGUAAGACUGCCCAGGGAAUGUACUUAAGCAAGGGCUAGAUGGAGGCCCAGAACUGCCAUUCAAGGAUGAAGAGAGAGGGCAUGGAGCAGAGAGCAAGGCUGUGGACAUCCUGAGACAAUGAGCAAGCUCUUCCUGGGAAUGAGUGCGGCACCGGAAAAGGCUCACUGGAUUUGGUGACUGGGAAGUUGCUGGCGCCUGGGUGGGAGCAGACUCAGAGUUGUCAGACACCUCUGGGAGUUAAGCGAUGUUGCCCCCAGAUUUGAAAGUAAAGGUGAAAGGCGUGGCUGUGAUCACAAGAGCUGGGAUUUCAAGCUUUUUUACCAGUACCACCACCUCCACCUUCUCUUCCAGGACCCAAGAGUAAGAGAAAGAAUGCUCCCUCCACUCCCCAGUGUCAACUCAACAGGCUGUUCCCUGUGCCAAUCAUGGGCAAGAAAGCCUGGCUCUUCCUCAAGCCCAGAAAGUGGUCUUUAGGAUAGCAAGAGAGAAAAAGCCUGAAGAUGGAAGAUUCUGUCAAGCCCUGCCAUCUCAAAAAGGUAUGGUGCUCCCUGGCCCACUAAAGCCAGAAGCCAGCAAAACCAUCCAACUCUGGGCCUGUCUUUCCCACGCUAGUACCAACAGAAACCAAACGCUAGGCUAAAAAGUCCAGACUAAGCUGAAAGGUACCAUUUGUAACCACAGACCUGGUUACACAGCCAGAAGGAUGUUUCCAAAGUGCAUUUGUGAGCACUUUACCCUCCUGAGCACAGCCUUUUCAUUGGCUCCCCACUGCCCAGAGAAGGAAGUCCACGCUCCUUCGCCUGGCACUCAGGGCCCUUCACUGGCUGGGUCAGUGUACCUGUGUGACUACACACUUCUCGGUAUCUGACACACACUGUCCCUACCCGCCGUCUGGGCCCACUCCUUCUCCAGAGCUGCCUCUUUCCUAGGGCUCAGCCCUUCUCUCCUCUGGACCCCCAGCACCUUGGACUUCCCUGAGCCCUGCUCUGUAUUUUUUCAGUCACCUGCUCUCCCCGUCAGUGCUCACCUCUCACUCAAAACCUAAGGUCCUUAUGGGCAGACUUACCUUGCUCAUCCUCUGUGCUUACACAAAACAGAUGCUCAGGAAGCCUUUGUGGGAAGAUGGAUGGUUCUGGGCAGCAAAUGGGAGGAAGUUUCCAGUCAUGAUUAAGCCAAAAGGUGAGUAAUCUCUACAGACUAAGGCAGGGGUUGGCAAAAUAUGGCCUACUGCCUGUUUUUCUAAGUAAAGUUGGUUGGACCACAGCCAUGCUCAUCUGUUUACGCACCAUCUCUGGCUGUUCAGGUGCUGUAACAGCAGAGCUGAGUAGCUGUGACAGAGCAAAUGGUCCACAACACCUCAAAGAUUCACUAUCUGGCCCUUUACAGAAAAAGUUUGCCAACACCAGGGCUAAGGCAGUGUUCCCAUAUAUUUUCACAUUGUGACACACACAAAAGAGGUGAUAUCUGCGUGGCCCACUAGGGUAAACAGACAAGGCCUCUUGUAGUUAGACAUACCCGGCCCUGGGGUUCUGGGCCCCUAAAGGCUGAUGGGACCUGUGUCUCAGUACACCUGUAACCUUUCAUAGCUCCAACCUGAAGGCUCAAAACCACAGCUGCCUCUCUAACCCUAGCCUCCAACUGAGCUAUAGAAAGAGGUGCAGAAACCCACCCUGACUCCUCAGGUCUCCCUGCCCACCUGUCCAGGACAAACCAGAGGUGGCAGGACUGAGACAGACACAAAACUGAGGCCCAAAGCAAAUCCUCUAGUAAUCUUACAAUUUGACAUUUUUCCCCUCCUUAAAGUACUCUGUAGAGCAAGUCUGCACCUUCCCACUGGCUAAAGACCAUGUUCUACAGCUGCUGAAUCCAAUGAGCUCUGGCCCUUGUCCAGACAAAGAAACCAAAACAUUAAUUCUAAAGCAGAAGGCUGCUGUAUGAAUGAACACCCGCUGCCUGUCACUCCCUCUGACUGACGAGCCCAGCAGAGCAGAAACUAAGGUAAAGGGCAGGAUGCUGACUGACCAGCCUGCAAAACUCUCUAUCUAUUGCUCAAAGACAUGCUUCCCAGAGAGCACAAGAAGGGGGCUCAUAUCCCUCCAUCCAUGAAAGAGUUGGGCCCAUCAAACCCCUAUUUCCCAGCCCAAUAGAGAUGGACUCUGCUACACUGCAACUCCUCUCCUCAUCACUCCCCCC
Long non-coding RNA from Equus asinus (donkey), 2325 nucleotides. NCBI's taxonomy places the organism in Eukaryota, Metazoa, Chordata, Mammalia, Perissodactyla, Equidae. The record is from Ensembl.